AGAGUUUGAUCCUGGCUCAGAAUGAACGCUGGCGGCGUGCUUAACACAUGCAAGUCGAACGGUAACAGAACUAGCUUGCUAGUUGCUGACGAGUGGCGCACGGGUGAGUAAUAUAUAGUUAACGUGCCCCUAAGCCUGGGAUAGCCACUGGAAACGGUGAUUAAUACCGGAUAUACCUUCUACUUAUUAAGAGUAGUUGGGAAAGGUUUUUCGCUAAGGGAUCGGACUAUAUUGUAUCAGCUAGUUGGUGAGGUAAGAGCUCACCAAGGCAAUGACACAUAGCGGGUUUGAGAGGAUGAUCCGCCACACUGGUACUGAGACACGGACCAGACUCCUACGGGAGGCAGCAGUGAGGAAUAUUGCACAAUGGGCGAAAGCCUGAUGCAGCAACGCCGCGUGGAGGAUGACGCAUUUCGGUGUGUAAACUCCUUUUAUAAGAGAAGAAAAUGACGGUAUCUUAUGAAUAAGUCCCGCUAACU
RNAcentral lists this ribosomal RNA (479 nucleotides) under uncultured bacterium. RNAcentral describes it as "bacterial SSU rRNA". It matches the Rfam family "Bacterial small subunit ribosomal RNA", at positions 8 to 502 of the family's 1533-position model. The record is from RNAcentral.